RNAcentral lists this ribosomal RNA (484 nucleotides) under uncultured bacterium. RNAcentral describes it as "partial 16S ribosomal RNA". It matches the Rfam family "Bacterial small subunit ribosomal RNA", at positions 29 to 523 of the family's 1533-position model. The record is from RNAcentral.
AGUGAACGCUGGCGGCGUGCUUAACACAUGCAAGUCGAACGAGAACGGGUUAUAGCUUGCUAUAAUUGUCAGCUAAGUGGCGCACGGGUGAGUAAUGUAUAGGUAAUAUGCCUCUUACUAAGGGAUAACAAAUGGAAACGUUUGCUAAUACCUUAUACUCCUUAUUAACAGAAGUUAAUAAGGGAAAGAUUUAUUGGUAAGAGAUUAGCCUGUAUUGUAUCAGUUAGUUGGUGGGGUAAUGGCUUACCAAGACUAUGACACAUAACUGGUUUGAGAGGAUGAUCAGUCACACUGGAACUGAGACACAGUCCAGACUCCUACGGGAGGCAGCAGUGGGGAAUAUUGCACAAUGGACGAAAGUCUGAUGCAGCAACGCCGCGUGGAGGAUGACACAUUUCGGUGCGUAAACUCCUUUUAUAUGAGAAGAUAAUGACGGUAUUAUAUGAAUAAGCACCGGCUAACUCCGUGCCAGCAGCCGCGGUAA